AAUAGAUACCCAGGUAGUCCACGCCCUAAACGAUGUCAACUAGCUGUUGGGGCCUUCGGGCCUUGGUAGCGCAGCUAACGCGUGAAGUUGACCGCCUGGGGAGUACGGUCGCAAGAUUAAAACUCAAAGGAAUUGACGGGGACCCGCACAAGCGGUGGAUGAUGUGGAUUAAUUCGAUGCAACGCGAAAAACCUUACCUACCCUUGACAUGUCUGGAAUGCCGAAGAGAUUUGGCAGUGCUCGCAAGAGAACCGGAACACAGGUGCUGCAUGGCUGUCGUCAGCUCGUGUCGUGAGAUGUUGGGUUAAGUCUCGCAACGAGCGCAACCCUUGUCAUUAGUUGCUACGAAAGGGCACUCUAAUGAGACUGCCGGUGACAAACCGGAGGAAGGUGGGGAUGACGUCAAGUCCUCAUGGCCCUUAUGGGUAGGGCUUCACACGUCAUACAAUGGUCGGGACAGAGGGUCGCCAACCCGGCGAGGGGAGCCAAUCCCAGAAACCCGAUCGUAGUCCGGAUCGCAGU
Molecule: ribosomal RNA, 522 nt
Filed under: uncultured bacterium
Lineage: Bacteria
Description: bacterial SSU rRNA
Rfam family: Bacterial small subunit ribosomal RNA
Source: RNAcentral